This 383-nucleotide unclassified non-coding RNA is filed under the name Hevea brasiliensis (rubber tree). Lineage: Eukaryota; Viridiplantae; Streptophyta; Magnoliopsida; Malpighiales; Euphorbiaceae. The record is from RNAcentral.
GUUUGAAUAAUGGCCAACUAAAUCUUCACAUUUGAUUGGUAUUUUAAAUGAAUUCGAUUUUUUGUUGAUAGUUGAUAUUAAUGGGCAACUGAUUCAGAGGAAUAACUUUUUUUUUUUCCAGUUGUGUGCUUCACCUUGGAAUGGUAGAGAUAAAGAGCUAGUGACACAUUUGCUUUGGCAAAGAUAUGCUCUUAAGGAGAAAAUUACAGAGUUGGAGGAGAUUAAUAAUAAAAUUAUUGAGAAAUGAAUGCAACUUAGUGAAAAAUAUAAUCAAAAUGAUAUACUAAUUAAUGUAUUGAAUAGUAAAGUUAAAGUGUUGACAAAGAAAAAAAAUAAAAGGGAAAAAUAGUUUGUUUGAAAAAAGAAUUAACUGUGUAAAAGAG